Molecule: ribosomal RNA, 480 nt
Filed under: uncultured organism
Description: partial 16S ribosomal RNA
Rfam family: Bacterial small subunit ribosomal RNA
Source: RNAcentral
ACGUACACUCCUACGGGAGGCAGCAGUAGGGAAUCUUCCACAAUGGGUGCAAACCUGAUGGAGCAAUGCCGCGUGAGUGAAGAAGGUCUUCGGAUCGUAAAGCUCUGUUGUUAGAGAAGAACACGUGCUAGGUAACUACUAGCGCCUUGACGGUAUCUAACCAGAAAGUCACGGCUAACUACGUGCCAGCAGCCGCGGUAAUACGUAGGUGACAAGCGUUGUCCGGAUUUAUUGGGCGUAAAGGGAGCGCAGGCGGUCUGUUUAGUCUAAUGUGAAAGCCCACGGCUUAACCGUGGAACGGCAUUGGAAACUGACAGACUUGAAUGUAGAAGAGGAAAAUGGAAUUCCAAGUGUAGCGGUGGAAUGCGUAGAUAUUUGGAGGAACACCAGUGGCGAAGGCGAUUUUCUGGUCUAACAUUGACGCUGAGGCUCGAAAGCGUGGGGAGCGAACAGGAUUAGAUACCCCAGUAGUCCCAUGAU